AUUGAACGCUGGCGGCAUGCUUUACACAUGCAAGUCGAACGGUAACAGGUUAAGCUGACGAGUGGCGAACGGGUGAGUAAUGCAUCGGAACGUGCCCAAUCGUGGGGGAUAACGCAGCGAAAGCUGCGCUAAUACCGCAUACGAUCUGAGGAUGUAAGCGGGGGACCGUAAGGCCUCGCGCGAUCGGAGCGGACGAUGUCAGAUUAGGUAGUUGGUGGGGUAAAGGCCCACCAAGCCGACGAUCUGUAGCUGGUCUGAGAGGACGACCAGCCACACUGGGACUGAGACACGGCCCAGACUCCUACGGGAGGCAGCAGUGGGGAAUUUUGGACAAUGGGCGAAAGCCUGAUCCAGCAAUGCCGCGUGCAGGAAGAAGGCCUUCGGGUUGUAAACUGCUUUUGUACGGAGCGAAAAGGUCCUUUCUAAUACAAGGGGCUCAUGACGGUACCGUAAGAAUAAGCACCGGCUAACUACGUGCCAGCCGCCGCAGUAA
Molecule: ribosomal RNA, 493 nt
Filed under: uncultured bacterium
Lineage: Bacteria
Description: partial 16S ribosomal RNA
Rfam family: Bacterial small subunit ribosomal RNA
Source: RNAcentral